UACGUAGGGGGCAAGCGUUGUCCGGAAUCAUUGGGCGUAAAGCGCGUGUAGGCGGUUCGGUAAGUCUGCUGUGAAAGUCCAGGGCUCAACCCUGGGAUGCCGGUGGAUACUGUCGGACUAGAGUACGGAAGAGGCGAGUGGAAUUCCCGGUGUAGCGGUGAAAUGCGCGGAUAUCGGGAGGAACACCAAUUCGAAGGCAGCUCGCUGGGACGUUACUGACACUAAGGCGCGAAAGCGUGGGGAGCGAACAGG
This 252-nucleotide ribosomal RNA is filed under the name uncultured bacterium. RNAcentral's name for it is "partial 16S ribosomal RNA". It matches the Rfam family "Bacterial small subunit ribosomal RNA", at positions 524 to 776 of the family's 1533-position model. The record is from RNAcentral.